UACGAAGGGGGCUAGCGUUGCUCGGAAUUACUGGGCGUAAAGCGCACGUAGGCGGUCUUUUUAAGUCGGGGGUGAAAUCCUGGAGCUCAACUCCAGAACUGCCUUCGAUACUGGAAGACUUGAGUCCGGGAGAGGUGAGUGGAACUGCGAGUGUAGAGGUGAAAUUCGUAGAUAUUCGCAAGAACACCAGUGGCGAAGGCGGCUCACUGGCCCGAUACUGACGCUGAGGUGCGAAAGCGUGGGGAGCAAACAGGG
RNAcentral lists this ribosomal RNA (255 nucleotides) under uncultured bacterium. RNAcentral describes it as "partial 16S ribosomal RNA". It matches the Rfam family "Bacterial small subunit ribosomal RNA", at positions 524 to 777 of the family's 1533-position model. The record is from RNAcentral.